AGGUGUGGAGAGACAGUUAGCUGGGGCCAGACUUUGCAGAUCCUUCAGGCCAUGGAAAGAAAGUCAUGCAAUGGAAGCCGCUGGAGGGUUUGAAGCAGAGCAGUGAUGGAUGGAGAAUGGACAGCAGGCAGCAGAGAGGCGGUAUGUAAUUCAAAGGAUUUCCUCUAAGGAUUCCAAACUGAGCUCCAACCACGGUCCUUAAACCACCUUUUUGUCUAAAUGGCACAAAGAGAGGAGUCUCUUUCUCCUGAUGACAAGCCAUGAGGGAAGAACCUGCCUGGAAGGAAGCCGUUACAGAAGACAGCAAUGCCGUGACGGAGAGAGACGCUAGAAUCCAGUGAUGCCGUGUGAGCUUCCGGAUCAGGCUAAAGCGAGACAUACCCCUGGAAUGUUACAUGGCAUUAGGAAAAAAAAAAUUCCAUUUUUUUGCUCACUUUCAGUUGGCUUUUCUGUCACGUGCAAUUAAAAUAAUCCUGAAGGAGGCAGGCAUUACUUGAAUCCUUCUAACAGCUCCUCUAACAAGCUCGCUACAAGGUCAGGAGGCCAGAAUUCAGUAAGCUUUUCCCAGUUGAAUGUGCUUGUCCCUCACAUGCGAUAUAUGGUGGUUCUUUCAACGACGUUAAGAAGAAUGUUUUCGGCAUCAUAUUUCAUUUUGUUCU
RNAcentral lists this long non-coding RNA (659 nucleotides) under Equus caballus (horse). Its description in RNAcentral is "lncRNA (ENSECAG00000052947.1)". The record is from RNAcentral. Lineage: Eukaryota; Metazoa; Chordata; Mammalia; Perissodactyla; Equidae.